GUGGUCUGAACUCUGUAUUACCUCGAAGGUGUCGCUGCUUUCUUGACCUAUGUCGAGAGCCUUCUUAGAGGCCGGGGAUGUUUGGUAAGAACUUCCCAUCUUUGUCGAGGUGAGGCUCCUUAGAUCUUUGGUGCGGUUUAUUUUUCGUCUGUUGCCGACGUUAUUCGCCACUUUCCUUUUUAGUUUUUCUCCUCUCUUCAAGUGAGGAUCCUCCCCUUGCUUUUUGAGGGGUCAUGUAGAAGUAUUG
RNAcentral lists this long non-coding RNA (247 nucleotides) under Elaeis guineensis (African oil palm). Its description in RNAcentral is "long non-coding RNA (EGUI_LNC062858)". The record is from RNAcentral. Lineage: Eukaryota; Viridiplantae; Streptophyta; Magnoliopsida; Arecales; Arecaceae.